CCCUCUCUGCUUCUUCUCUGCUGGUUCUCUGCUGGUGCUCGCCUGGUCUUGCUUUCCUUGAAUAGCGCUCGGGGAAAGUAGGACUCCUCAGAAACGCCCGUGAUCUCCAGCCCGGGCGUUCUUCAGAACAGGCUGGAAAAGGGCUGUUGAAGAGACUAGGACAGAUGAGUCGGAGGCUGAAGAAGGAGCGUGAGAUUGAGGCCUCCACAGGGCCAGGCUCAAGUUCACUGACCACCAGGAGCUCCACUCACAUCUUACAGAGUGGAGCCUUGACCAAAUGUAAUGCAGAUGAAUUGGAAGACCCGAGAAGUGACUCAUCCUCUGCACCUUCAUGAGGCUCCGUGGUUUCUGUGGCGGAAGUUUCCCAGACAGUCCUGCCUGUUUUGGAAAUCUGGCUGAGGCUAACACAGGUUCUUUGAUUCCAGUCUUAAUUCUCCUAUCACACUGCACACGGUAAACUUAGCUUUCUGUGGGUGCCUAUUAUGUGUUUAGCAGAGUGAAUGUAAGUGACAGCGGCUACAGCAGAGAAGUGGGCUCUUAGAAAUGUGGGUAGAAUCUGUGUAGAUAAGAAACCUGAGUCCAGUCCUGGGAGGAGGUUGCUGCUGUGGCCCAAGGAAGGUCCUGCCUGAAAGACAGGCUUCGGGGUGGAGUCUAGGUGAGAGUGGAAACAGGUUGGAGCAGGAAAGUGUGUGUGUGUGUGUGUGUGUGUGUGUUCAGCUCCAGCAGGCAGUCCAGUGGGCAGCAGGGGACCAAGCUACCCUGAAGCCCAGGGACAGACAAGCGUUUUUCUCACGGUUGGUCCUCCACACACUGGGUGUCAGGUUGGUGGGCCAUGCCAUGCUAUCUUAGUGUAAGGUGUCUGCCAAUUUAUGGGGUCCAGGGAGUUACACCCUUUCCUUGGUCUGGUAUGGCCAAUAAGUUCUUGGGCCAGGUUUCCCAGAUACGAUUUUAAAAUAUCCAUGUUCCCCCAUCAUCUCAAUCCCCCCUGACAAACUUAGAGUUUGGUUCUAUUCCUGGGAAUAAGCCAUUUAAUAAGUCUGUGUUGCAUGGUUGAUGCCUGACAGAUGGUGAGGUUUGUGGAUUCAUCCUUGGCUACACUCAUCCUUGAGAGGGCACAACUCAGAGGCAGCUCCAUUCCAGCCUGAACAGUGCCCCUUCCUGUGACUACUGUCCAGUCUGAACAGCGGCCCCUUCCUGUGACUACUGUCCAGCCUGAGUAGUGACCCCCUUCCUGUGACUACUGUCCAGCCUGAGUAGUGACCCCCUUUCUGUGACUACUGUCCAGCCUGGACAGCGGCCCCUUCCUGUGACUACUGUCCAGCCUGGACAGCGGCCCCUUCCUGUGACUACUGUCUAGCCUGAACAGCAGCCCCUCCUGUGUAACAAGUUUCAAUUACCUGAAGUCAACAUUAUUAACACCAACCCUGCACAUUCUAGUUUAACCAUUAACCCUGCCUGACCAAACCAGGCCUUGAUCCCUCUGCCAGCCCUGAUCCCCCAGCACUGAUAAACCCCUUACCUGUAAGAGAAGUUCACUGUCUCUUACCUUCUCUGAUAAGAGGCCUUCUCAGGUUUAUUCCAAAACAAACCUGGUCCCUCACCAUUGAGCCUCCUCAGUUUUCUUUUCUCCUUACACCUCUCCUCCCUAAAUAGAGCCCAAAGCUGUCUGUAAAACAGUGUCUCCUAGGGCACAGACUGAAAAAUCACUGUUUUACACACCAUGGAGUAAGUCAGAGCUGGGGCUAGCCUGGCCUCAGGGUCCUUUGUUAAGACAAAAGAGUGUCAGGCUGGAGAGAUGGCUCAGAGGUUAAGAGCACCGACUGUUCUUCCAGAGGUCCUGAGUUCAAUUCCCAGCAACCACAUGGUGGCUCACAACCAUCUGUAAUGAGGUCUGGCGCCCCCUUCUGGCCUGCAGGCGUACAUGCAGACAGAACAUUGUAUACAUAAUAAAUAAAUCUUUAAAAAAAAAAAAAGACAAAAGAGUGUCAUCUCAUAAGCUGUACCUCCUGCUUUUCUCCCACCAUGACCCAUUGAGGGUGUGGCAACUUUGGUUGUAUAUUCAGCACUGUGAAUGAGAGGAAGCUGCUUGCUCCAGGGGUAGCAGUUGGGGGAUUUGGCUUCUCUAGACCUGCCGUGGUCAUGGCUGGACCAAAGGCAUUAACAGCUUUGCACAGCUGUAGCCAACCUAGCCUGGAAGGGCUGUGCUAAUCUGUGACAUCGGAAACCCGGCUAUUUCUCAGUGAAGAAUAUCAAUGUUUUUAAAUUUAUAC
Peromyscus californicus insignis is the source of this 2270-nucleotide long non-coding RNA. RefSeq lists it as uncharacterized. The record is from RefSeq and is a predicted model, not a curated record. NCBI's taxonomy places the organism in Eukaryota, Metazoa, Chordata, Mammalia, Rodentia, Cricetidae. The transcript has 3 exons.